AACGAACGCUGGCGGCAUGCCUAACACAUGCAAGUCGAACGAGACCUUCGGGUCUAGUGGCGCACGGGUGCGUAACGCGUGGGAACCUGCCCUUAGGUUCGGAAUAACUCCCCGAAAGGGGUGCUAAUACCGGAUAAUGUCUUCGGACCAAAGAUUUAUCGCCUUUGGAUGGGCCCGUGUUGGAUUAGCUAGUUGGUAGGGUAAAAGCCUACCAAGGCAACGAUCCAUAGCUGGUCUGAAAGGAUGAUCAGCCACACUGGGACUGAGACACGGCCCAGACUCCUACGGGAGGCAGCAGUGGGGAAUAUUGGACAAUGGGCGAAAGCCUGAUCCAGCAAUGCCGCGUGAGUGAUGAAGGCCUUAGGGUUGUAAAGCUCUUUUACCCGGGAUGAUAAUGACAGUACCGGGAGAAUAAGCACCGGCUAACUCCGUG
RNAcentral lists this ribosomal RNA (433 nucleotides) under uncultured bacterium. Its description in RNAcentral is "partial 16S ribosomal RNA". It matches the Rfam family "Bacterial small subunit ribosomal RNA", at positions 29 to 507 of the family's 1533-position model. The record is from RNAcentral.